UACGUAGGGGGCAAGCGUUAUCCGGAUUUACUGGGUGUAAAGGGAGCGUAGACGGCAUAGCAAGUCUGAAGUGAAAGCCCGUGGCUCAACCGCGGAACUGCUUUGGAAACUGUUAAGCUGGAGUACUGGAGAGGCAAGCGGAAUUCCUAGUGUAGCGGUGAAAUGCGUAGAUAUUAGGAGGAACACCAGUGGCGAAGGCGGCUUGCUGGACAGAGACUGACGUUGAGGCUCGAAAGCGUGGGGAGCAAGCAGG
This 253-nucleotide ribosomal RNA is filed under the name uncultured bacterium. RNAcentral's name for it is "partial 16S ribosomal RNA". It matches the Rfam family "Bacterial small subunit ribosomal RNA", at positions 524 to 776 of the family's 1533-position model. The record is from RNAcentral.